RNAcentral lists this ribosomal RNA (470 nucleotides) under uncultured Denitratisoma sp. RNAcentral describes it as "bacterial SSU rRNA". It matches the Rfam family "Bacterial small subunit ribosomal RNA", at positions 8 to 474 of the family's 1533-position model. Lineage: Bacteria; Pseudomonadati; Pseudomonadota; Betaproteobacteria; Nitrosomonadales; Sterolibacteriaceae. The record is from RNAcentral.
AGAGUUUGAUCCUGGCUCAGAUUGAACGCUGGCGGCAUGCCUUACACAUGCAAGUCGAACGCGAAAGCGGGGCAACCCGCAAGUAGAGUGGCGAACGGGUGAGUAAUACAUCGGAACAUUUCCAGUAGCGGGGGAUAACCUGUCGAAAGAUAGGCUAAUACCGCAUACGCCCUACGGGGGAAAGCGGAGGACCGCAAGGCUUCGCACUAUUGGAGUGGCCGAUGUCGGAUUAGCUAGUUGGUGGGGUAAAAGCCCACCAAGGCGACGAUCCGUAGCUGGUCUGAGAGGACGAUCAGCCACACUGGAACUGAGACACGGUCCAGACUCCUACGGGAGGCAGCAGUGGGGAAUUUUGGACAAUGGGCGCAAGCCUGAUCCAGCCAUGCCGCGUGAGUGAAGAAGGCCUUCGGGUUGUAAAGCUCUUUCGGUGGGGACGAAAAGGUUCGCGCUAAUACCGCGGACUAAUGACG